CCACACUGUCAAUCUCUUCCUUACUCUCUACGAAAUAGAGGGACAAUAUGGGCAGAACAUUCUCACCCAUAAGAACCAGUUAUUUCCUCAGACUGGAACAAGAAUUAUUAACACAAAUACUUAAAAGCUACUGAAACUUGAACAAAACUAUGAAUUAAAAUGUCUAAUAUUACAAUCAAUUCAGUCACACUAGCGAUACAUGAAUGCUAAGGAGACAACUCUGAAAGACGAUUUAGUGAUUGAACAUGGAGUUUAUUUUCCUUAGAGUACAUGAAAUUGGAGCAUCAGAACUGAUCCCUCAAACUUAACAAAUGAAUCAUUGCCAGCAUAUUAGUCAAUACCUAAUUCGAUAAACAGAAAAAGACGAGUUGUUUACACCAUACGUUUGUCCUCAACGAACUAAACUUUCAAGCAGAUCCAGUACAUGAAGGAUGAAUCACUAAGCAUUGAUACUGAAUAUCCAACUAAUCAUUGACUAACAUAACAGAUUUAUCAUAUUUAAGUAAGAGCUAAAAAAGGAAGAAGUUAGAGGAAAGAGCUGGAUGACUCAAAAUAACAUGAAAACUAAAGUUCAACACGAGUAACUUCAUUGAUUUCACAGCACAAGUACAUUUUCCACACAAAUAUGUUUACAUUCCAUUUUCCAUUCAAGGUUCAAAGAAGUACCUGGAUACAAUAAGUGAAUAGAAUAAGAAAGAUAUCUCUGAAAUUAACGAGUAAUAGCCGCAAAUAAUAAUAAAAAUAGCUAAAGGACAUCUCAAACAACCCAACAAAUGACACUGGAGGACAUCACACUAAGCCUUGAUUUCAAAACCAAAAAUCCAACUGUAAUCUUAAGACCAAUGAAAAUCUAAUGCAAGGUCAUUUCUCAAUGAGAAGGAAAUUCAUUACUUUCAGAAAUAGGGGUUCAAAUCUGAAAUCUGUCUUAAAAUUAAUCUUAAAAGAUGAUGGAAUGUGUCCUUUGAGAGAGAGAAGGGUUUUAUAUAUAUAUGGAAUGAAAUAUGCCAUGUGCUCCUAAGGAUAAGGGAAUCAUUCUCUAAAACUAAUCCUAAUUUUCAGGAAAAGAGCAUCUUUUUUAACAGAUAAUGGACAGUUGCCCAUUUCUAUUCAAUUUCAGCAUCUUUUUACAACAAAUUUGGAUAGUUAUCUAAAAUCUAGAAACUUCCUAAUGCCUUAUCUGAAAUUCCCAUUUUUACCUCCCAAUUGACCCCCUUUAAAUUUCGUUUGUUACCAAUAACCCCCUAUACUUUUUAAUUAGCAAUCAAACCUUCCCCAUCACAUAAUGAAAACAAGCAUCAGAAACAAAUAAAUAGAGAAACAAACUAUUACCCUAAAAAAAACCUAGCUGAAUUACUGCAUUAAUAAAGAAAACUGAUCGGAUUACCUUAAACACCAAAUAUUAACUAAUAAAUAAGCGAUUAAUAAUUAAACUAACUACACUACCAAGUAACCUAAGGAUUAAACACGGACUAUUAUCAAGAUUUAAGAAAAAAUGAAAGAAAAUAAAUAAAUAAAAAUGAAACAGCAAUAAUUAGUAUGGAAAGUACUAAAAGGAAGUAAAUUAAACCUAAAACGACUUCCCACGAGGCUGGCAGGAGUCCGGUGAGUCAGUCAAAAUCUAAUAACCUCAGAGUGACUCAAAACUAACGUCAUCUUGUUGAUAGAAAUCUAUUAACGUAAGCUUUAGGCCAAAUCGAGUUGGAAAAGCACGAAAAUCAGAAAAGGAGAAAGAAGUUAUGUUUCUGGAUUUUAGAUUUGAAAUUGAGGGGAAUCUGUUGGGAUUUUUGUGAGAUUAAUGGUAGGAUGAUGAUAGGCUGAUGUGAGGAGUAUGAGAUGUUAAUUUUGGGUUAUUUGGUGACAGGCCGCCGCCGUGGGGCAAUUUUCGGUGGGCGGCGGCGGGUGGUGAAGGAUUUUAGGGGCUAAGUGAGAGAAGAGGG
RNAcentral lists this long non-coding RNA (1937 nucleotides) under Nicotiana tabacum (common tobacco). Its description in RNAcentral is "long non-coding RNA (NTAB_LNC004707)". Lineage: Eukaryota; Viridiplantae; Streptophyta; Magnoliopsida; Solanales; Solanaceae. The record is from RNAcentral.